AUGCUGCUGGGCAGCGACAGAGCCUUCUGUGACCUGUGCGCACCAGGACAGAUAAGCAAUGCACUGCACAUAAUCACGUGGAACUCCAUUUUUAGCAGCUUAACUUAGCAUCUCAGGGCUGAUGUGUUCUCUCCCUGGCAGGCACGGUUGGAGCUGCUGUCCGGACCCCAAGUGCUUUAGACCCUGAUCUGGAAGCUGCAAGGAUAUAAGCUGGAGGAUUUAAACUCCCAGGAUCAAGAGGAGCUUUGGGGUGUUGCCAGACAGGAGAUUUUCCUCAGCAGCAAUGAGAUGGAGCCUCGACUGAAAACUGAAGCAUCAGGACUUGAGAACAUGUCUGUGACAUGAAGGGCAGCAAGCCACAUGCGAGACUCGGUGGUCUCCAGCAUGAAAUGGAUGAACAGCCUGGAAGCAUGGACAGGAGUCUUUGGUCCAUCUAUUCCAAUUUCUGAUGCAAAGCAGGACAAAGGACACCAAUGUCACAUGUGGGUAAAAGAUGUUUAAAGACAUCUUCAGUGUCUGGCUGAGAACUUGCACAUGAUUGCAGGUGAGCCCUGCGCCCUAGGUCUUUCCAACCCUUCUGUUCUCCCAGCAAGGUUCGACUGAACUAGCAGUUCUACCAUAUGGCCGUGACCCUUAAAAAUAUCAGUUAACUACAUUUCUUCCUACCCUGGUGAUUUCUAUUUCCUCUUGCACUUUGCCCAGACGCAGUCUGCUCUCGAAGCUGGAAAUGCUGCCUCUCCCCAUCUGUUGUGACACUUGUCCAGCUUGAUCAUGAUGGCUUUACCAUCACUCCUAGCAUUAAUCACCAUGUGCAGCAGCUUGCCAGAUGUUUCCAGGAGCCUGUCCCUGCACCAUCCAGGUGUAUUUCCAAUGAGACAGUACCUCCACCGUGUUCUGCAUUAAUUCUGACCUCUCCUCAUGAAAGGAGCUUUCUUCCCUGCAGCCAGAGUACUUGACCUACUUGGUCAUCACCUGUGAGUUCUGGGGCACCCUGUGUCACAGAACUGAGACACAGCAACCAUAAAUGUAUGAAGAGCAUGGCCAAAGGUAAAGGCUUAGGAUAAAAGUCAAGCUUCCAGAUCAAUCUGAGAAACAAGAACGCCUUUCAUCGCAGCUUUGUCCUCUCCUAACUCCUGAGUAAGAAACACGAUAAAUAAAAUAAUACAACAGGUUAGCUGGAAUCCAAAGGUGUUCUGGUGAAGGCUGUCAGCAUUGCAUUUAGGUCCAUCCAAGGAAUCCUGAUAUGGGGAAAGAUAACUCACACCACGAGUCAUGUGGGAUGAGUGACAAAUGCUUCCAGCAGAAGGGUGCUGGGUGGAAAAUACAGGGCCUUGACUGACUCGACAGACAGGUCAGGCUCUCUCAGUGAUACGAUCUAAAAGAGAUAGGAUCCAGGAAUCAGUGAAGGGAGGGUGCAGGUUCACUAAACACAAGGAAGAAGAUGUGGGCUACUUAGUGGUUAGGUUUCCUGAACCCACUGAAGCAAGUAAAGCACCAUCCCACCCUCAUGUGGUCAGGUGCAAGGAAAGUGAUGCUCCCCACCCUCCUCUCUGUGGGAACAUCUGCUAGUAUUCAUCAAGAAAUUCAGUGGGCCUGGUCAGAAUCCUAGAAUGGGUAAGGGUGGAAGGGACUACCAGGGGAGUAAUCUGGUCUCAACCCCUCUCCUCAAGCAGGGUUGUCCCAGACCACAUGGGACAGGAUUGCCCCCAGACAGUUCUGGAAUAUCUGCAGUGGGGGAGACUCCACAACCUCUCUGGGCAAUCUGCUGCAGUGCUCAGACACCUGCACAGUACAGAAGUUCUUCCUUUGUUCACAUGGAAUUUCUUGCGUUCCAGUUUCUGCCCGUUGUCUCACGUCUUCUUGGCACCACCAAGAACAGGAGCCUGGCUCCUUCCUCUGACACCCAGCCUACAGAUACUUAUGGACAAUGAUGAGGUCCCCUCUCAGACAUCUCUUACCCAGCCUGAACAGGCCCAGCUCCCUCAGCCUUUCCUCAUGAGGCGCUUCCUCACCUAAUGAUCUUCAUUCCCCUUUGCUAGACCUACUCUAGGAGCUCCAUGUCUCUCUUGGAUGGAGGAGCCCAGAACGGGACACAGCACUGCAGAUUCCCCUCACCAGGGCUGAGUGGAGCGUCACCUCCCUUGCGCAGCUGGCAAUGCUCUUUCUAAUGCAUCCCAGGAUUCCAGGACACACGGCUGGCUCACAGAGAGCUUCUUGUCCACCAGAUCCCCAGGUCCUUCUCUGAAGAGCUGCUCACCAGCAGGUCAGCCCCCAGCCUGUGCUGGUACACGGGGUUAUUUUUCCACACAUAUAGGGCGCUGCAUUUGCCUAUGCUGAAUUUCAGAAGGUUCCUCUCUGUCCAUCUCUCCAACCAGUCCCUCUGCAGGGCUGCACAACACUCUGGAGUACUGGCCACUCCUUCCAGCUUGGUGUCAUCAAUGAACAUGAUGAGAAAGCAUCUACCCUUCAUCCAAGUCUUUGAUGAGUAAGUUAAACAAGGAUGGGCCUGGUACUGAACCUUGUGGGACACCAUUAGUGACAGGCCUUCAGUUAGACCCUGUGCCACUGUGACCCUCUGGGAUCUGCUGUUCAGCAAGUUCCCAAUCCACCUCACUGUCCACUCAUCCAGUCCUCACUUCCUAAGUUUGUCAAUGAGGAUCUUGUGAGAGACAGUGUAGAAAGCCUUGCUGAAGUUGAGGCAGACUCGAAUACCCCCUGCUCUGCUCUCCAUCCAUCCAGGCAGUUGUCUUGUGGUAGAAGGCAAUCAUGUUGGUCAAGCAUAAUUUGCCUCUAGUGAAGUCAAGCCGACUCUCCUGCUCACCUUCCUGUAUUCCACAUGCUUAGAGACAACCUCCAGAAUGAGGUGCUCCAUCACCUUGUUGGGAUUGAGGUGAGGCUGACUGGUUUCUUGGGUGCUCCUUCUUGGCCUCUUUGAAGAGUGGGGUGACAUUUGCUUCUUCCAGGCCUCAGGUCCCUCUCCUGCCAUCAGACCUUCAAAGAUGACUGCUAUGGUGUUCACCAGCUCCUGAGCACUGUGGAUGCAUCCCUACAAGGGCCAUGGAUUUGUGGAUAUCCCAUUUCCCUAGGUGAUCUCUAACCCAAUUCUCCCUGCCCAAGGGAGAAUCUUCCUUCCAACAUUCCUGAAGGGUAAUAAGCUGAUGAACCAGUCUGGCUAAAUAUUCAGUGGGAAGACCUUCUUGCCCAGUCCAGAGACACAAUCCUAAAAAGAUGGUCUAGGACAGAUGUUCAAGGGGUCAGCACUCAGCAGCCACAGUGCUGAGCUGAAUGCUGGCAGAGGGACUGCCCAGAUGCCUCCUGCCAUGGAGCCCCAUUCACUCUGUGCUCAGACUGUUCUUGGGCAUUAAACAUUCACAUUAAUGCACGGACACUGAGCCAGACAGGACUUGAUACUGCUUCCUGAGCAGGCACUGCCGAGAGGUGUCCUGGAAAAGAGGUGACAUUGGGGACUCAGGAAGCAGCACUGCACUGAGUAGUUCCUGGACAUCACAGUUUCCAGCAGGGCACAUGGUGGAGAAAAGCAGGCUUCAUACUCCUCAAAGAAUGAAAAGGAGCCCAGAACUCAGUAGAUGGAGGGACCACAUCUCAUUUCAGCAUUAAAGAUGUGGGGUCACCACAGCUGGACAGGUGCCCAGCUAACACUGGGGCCUUGACCUGUGCUUCCCACACUGAGGAAUUGAUGAGGCAAAGGAUCCUUGCUGCAUAUCCUGCCAGAGAGAUCUUGGAGGCUGUCAGACUGGUGGGGGAACAGAGCCUCUUGCUGGUGAUACAGUUCACCAGGGAACAGCAUCCUGCACACAUGGGUGGUGGAGAUUUUGGUUUCACUGCAGAUGGAGUCCUGGCAGGCAGUGUGGGACCAGGGUCACCACGUGUGCUGGGACAUGGGUGUCUGGCACCUGCUGCUCCUCUGGGCAAUGACUGCUUGAGGCAGAGAUGUCAUCCUUCUUUGCUUCAUUCCUGAAAUCUCUCAGGGCAUGUACUCUGCAGUCUUCUGGGUUCCUGAAGCAGUACCAAGGCAAAGGUAUGCACGUCCCGGAUUAUGCAUGGGGGAAGCCAGAAGUUGUCGGCCACUCACAGAACUCUCCACAGGAGAGAAAGAGCAGAAAACACUGCAAAGAUGCCUACAGGAAAGGGGACUUGCAUGAAACUGAAGAGCCUCCAGACAGGAUAGGAAGUGAUCCCUGAUCUACUGUGUGUAUGAGGCAUCAUCACUUGAAAGCAGAAAACUGAAAUAGUAAAAUAUUUCCUUGGGCUUUAGAUCUUUUAGGUAGAAAAAUAAAGAGGGAAAAGGGAAAGAAAUGGAAACAGUUAACAAGGUGGCAUAGAGGUGAGGGCCAUGGCAGGCACUGAGGCACGCACCUCCCAUCUACCCACACACCCACAGGCAGCCAGGGCUUCUGCUGCUUCCCAGUGCCCUGCUGCUCCUGUGAAACACUUUUCCAGCUUCCUGCAAGAUAAGAUGGCAGUCAGGAGCUGCAGCAGACCACAGGCCGAGGAACUGCCAUUCCCCAGCACCAGCAGGGCUCCACCUGCGCCCUGAUUUCCCGUUUCCUGCUCAAUUCUUCUGCCAUUUGCAGGGACUCGCCUCCCUGCCUGCUCUAGGCAGCUCAGCCCCCGCUGGAAUGCCAACACAUGCCUUAACACAUGGGGCAGGCACGGGCAGAGCAGCUCACCCUGCCCAACACGGACACUGUGCUGUGGUGCAUGGAUGCCACAGCACUCGCAGCUCAAGCACCCAGCAGCAUCAGCCACUCAGCCACUUCUACAGAGAGAAACUCCUGCAUCCCUCAGCCCCCAUUUUAUCUUCCAUACAUAAUCCUAGAGAUGAUCCAAAAACUCUACUGCCAUGUGCUUUCUCCUCCCUUCAGUACCUUUAGUGGGAAGCGUUUUUUCUCCAGAACUUCACCUGCCUUGGCUGUGCAGGCUGUGUCCACUUCUCAGUGAUCACACUGCAUCACGCUGCGUCUCUGGAGGCUGCUCGCUCCCUCCUGACACCCUGCCAGGCCCCAGCCUCCUGUCCCCAUCACUGGAGGAGCCAGCCAGGAAAAUGCCACAGGAAAUGGUGUGACAGGGGAUCCCCACUGCGGUUACACUGAGGUGGGAUAUGGGACUGAGGGCAGGCAGGAAGGUGCUCUGGGAUGCCCUGGUGUGGCAGAAGAGGCCAGGAAACAGGAAGAGGUUCACAAGCCAGGAUCAGUUCCAUUUUCAAUCCUUCAGCCUCUGCAUUGAUGAUGCUCCAGGUUAAAAACAAGGCACCCCAUGCAGCACCAGGGCCUGUUGAGGGCCAGUGGCUCUCAGAACAGGGAUUUCACCACUGUCCCAUCCACCAUGGGGAGA
Long non-coding RNA from Melospiza melodia melodia, 5355 nucleotides. RefSeq lists it as uncharacterized. The transcript has 4 exons. The record is from RefSeq and is a predicted model, not a curated record. Lineage: Eukaryota; Metazoa; Chordata; Aves; Passeriformes; Passerellidae.